AUGCUGUUCCAAGGUUUUAUGGAAAAUAUUCCAAGGUUUUUGUGAGGAUAUUCCUUAAAUUCCUGUCGAUAUCCCAAGGGUUUCCUGUGCUUUUUCCAAGGUUUUAUGGAAAAUAUCCCAAGGUUUUCUGAUAUUCCAUAAAUUCCUGUCAUUAUCCCAAGGUUUCCUGAUGCUGUUCCAAGGUUUUAUGGAAAAUAUUCCAAGGUUUUUGUGAGGAUAUUCCUUAAAUUCCUGUCGAUAUUCCAAGAUUUUCCUGUGACAUUCCAUAAAUUCCUGUCGCUAUCCCGAGGUU
Long non-coding RNA from Vidua macroura (Pin-tailed whydah), 292 nucleotides. RefSeq lists it as uncharacterized. NCBI's taxonomy places the organism in Eukaryota, Metazoa, Chordata, Aves, Passeriformes, Viduidae. The transcript is spliced from 4 exons. The record is from RefSeq and is a predicted model, not a curated record.